RNAcentral lists this ribosomal RNA (250 nucleotides) under uncultured prokaryote. RNAcentral's name for it is "partial 16S ribosomal RNA". It matches the Rfam family "Bacterial small subunit ribosomal RNA", at positions 524 to 773 of the family's 1533-position model. The record is from RNAcentral.
UACGGAGGAUGCGAGCGUUAUCCGGAUUUAUUGGGUUUAAAGGGUGCGCAGGCGGCUUGUUAAGCGUGAGGUGAAAUGCCAGGGCUCAACCGUGGAAUUGCCUCGCGAACUGGUAAGCUGGAAUGCCCCUGCCGUGGGAGGAAUGUGUGGUGUAGCGGUGAAAUGCAUAGAGAUCACACAGAACACCGAUUGCGAAGGCAUCUCACGAAGGGGUGAUUGACGCUGAGGCACGAAAGCGUGGGGAUCAAAC